RNAcentral lists this transfer RNA (85 nucleotides) under Felis catus (domestic cat). It matches the Rfam family "tRNA". Rfam says of the family: Transfer RNA (tRNA) molecules are approximately 80 nucleotides in length. Their secondary structure includes four short double-helical elements and three loops (D, anti-codon, and T loops). Further hydrogen bonds mediate the characteristic L-shaped molecular structure. tRNAs have two regions of fundamental functional importance: the anti-codon, which is responsible for specific mRNA codon recognition, and the 3' end, to which the tRNAs corresponding amino acid is attached (by aminoacyl-tRNA synthetases). tRNAs cope with the degeneracy of the genetic code in two manners: having more than one tRNA (with a specific anti-codon) for a particular amino acid; and 'wobble' base-pairing, i.e. permitting non-standard base-pairing at the 3rd anti-codon position. RNAcentral also lists the same sequence under 2 other names. Lineage: Eukaryota; Metazoa; Chordata; Mammalia; Carnivora; Felidae. The record is from Rfam by way of RNAcentral.
GCCUGGGUGGCUCAAUUGGUUAAGCAUCUGACUUCAGCUCAGGUCACAAUCUCAUAGUUGGUGGGUUUGAGCCCCACAUUGGGCC